This 1087-nucleotide small RNA is filed under the name Arabidopsis thaliana (thale cress). Its description in RNAcentral is "ATSL195450". Lineage: Eukaryota; Viridiplantae; Streptophyta; Magnoliopsida; Brassicales; Brassicaceae. The record is from RNAcentral.
AAAAUUGAAAUCGAUAAGCUUGGAAAACAAAUCGAGCCCUUUAAACAAAGGAGGUUCAAGGAAUUAUAUUCCAAAUGGAAACACAAAAGACCUCAAUCAAACCAAAUAUAAAGAAAUCGAGAGAUGAAAACAUAAAUCUAAACCGGAAAUCAAUUUGGCCAAAAGCUAGACGAGACACCGAAGAUAGGCGGUGAAACUCUGGACCUUAGCUAGCCCACCGCCGCUAAAGAAGCCAACGGAAGCCAGACGCAAGCAGACCACCGCCGUAAAAAACCGGACAGUGUCAGAACGAAAACAGAUCAAACGUUGCCCAAAACGUCGCUGGACAAAAGCCAGACAUCCAUACUGAAAAAGCCAUAAAUUCUGGACAGAAAACCGGCCAACAAACGUUGAAGAAGCGAUUAUUGUCGGAAAAAGAAGAUCCAGUGCUUCCUCUCUCUAAAAGAUGCUGAUGAGAGAAGAGAGAGAACCACCAAGAUUUAUUUAAAUGCAAGGAACAAAAAAAUGUUUGCCUUCAAGGAUAAAAUAGAUAUAGAUUUAAUCUCUUUAAAUUUAAUCUUCGUCAAUAAAUUUGCUUCAUGAGUUAACGCGAUCAAACUAAAAAAAUCUUUGUUCUCUCACUUAGCAGCUCAUUUUAGAAAUUCUCAUCGCCGUUCGUUUGCCGUCCCGUUUCUGUUGGGCUUAAGAACUUCUCCUCUGUAGUAUAUCAUUAUACUUGAGCGGAGCCCUUGUCCGAAGAAUUACCAGUUUUUUGUUGGAGUUCUGAUUCAGUUGGAUUUCAUUUGCUACUUUCAAAAGUUGGUUUGCUGUUUCAAUUAGGCUCGAUUCUCUGUGAAUUGAUUGCGCUUGGUUUCUUAUCGAAGUUGAUUCAAGUGGAUUUCUCGUCAUGAAUAUGGAGUUAGACAAAGCUAUCUUUGAGAUGUCGAUCAAAGAUGAUGGUCCUCUAGUUUUAUCCUAUCAACCAAAGUUUAGUUCGAUAGAGAAGAAUAGUUGUAGUAUUAUUCGACAAUUUCUGAACCCUUCUCACCAACGUAUGUCUAAUUGGAUAUUAGAUAUGCCUCGAAUAUGGCGGAUCUACUCCCGGGUU